ACCUGUAAGAUCUAUAUCUAUUGUGUCUGAAUCCAGAACUAUUUCGUCCGUUGAAGUGAUCUAGGGCAGUCCGUCGUCAGUAUACCUCUACCUAUAUACCUCAAGAGUGAAGAUACCUCAUUUUGUCAGGUUUAUCUGUUUAUUGUGAGUACGGAAAGUCAUCUGAGUCUACAUAUCUAGUAUCUACAAGCUGACCGUUGGAUCGAGUCACCUUGUCAGGAAAGGUUUGGUGUGAUGUGAGGCGACCAGCCAUGAACAUAUAGCCAAUGACAGUAUUUACUCUGAAAAACUCUGAUUUAUGCCUAUGGAGUCAGCAAAGGCAUCUUCGUAUGUGGACUAUAUACAUGUGUAUUUACUCUGAAAAACUGUUUUAUGUCUGUGGAAUCGACAAAGGCAUCGUCGUAUGGGGACUGUAUACAUGUCUUGAUGGACUUAGUACUAUUAGUUGGUGAAACUAUUACACUGUACUAUACUAUUUCAUCGUCAAUGACAUGAGUGAUGAUUAGAACACUGUAUACCGGAUAUUUUCUUACCAAUAACUGUAUUGGAACUGUACAUAUUGUUUUCUUGGUGUCAACAUUCAACUACAGUGUGAACUUUGUGACAUAGGAACAUGGACAAUUUUACCAGGAACUGAUGAAGAUGGGAAACAUGAUGAUGUCCAUCAAGAUCAAGAUAUAUGUUUGUUUUGUCUUUCCCCAAAAUUUUGGCCAUGUAUAUUGUACAGACAUGACAGUAGGGAUAGUGUUUUAGACUGAAAAAAAAAAAAUUGACAAAAUUUUUUUUUGAUAAAGGGGGGAGGAAAUAUGUAAUGACACAAGAUGCGUAGAAGUUGAUGUGAAUCGGGUUUUUCCUAAGUAAUGUGACGAGUAAGAACAGAGUAGGAUAAUGAACAAGAAGAAUAACGGACAAGACGCCUAAGAGGACGACGCUAGGCUAGCGACGACAGAGGACUGUGCCCUUUUUAUUGUUUAUUAAAUUGUUGAAGUUAUCAGCCUGCGUUAUUAAGUAUAUUCUUGAUUCAUUCUGUUGUUGUGUCAUAUGGACUCGCAUGCACCAGUAACAUAUAUAUACUCAUCAACAAAAUAGACCAUCAACAACUACUAGAUCUAGUUUUUAAAUCUAGUAACUAGAUCUAGACUACUCAAGACAAAUCUAAAAAAGUAAAAUCUAAUAUAUAUGACGAAUGUCAAUCCAGAAUUCUAGAAUCUAGAUAUAUUAUAUAAUAUACUAGAAUAUAAUAUACUAGACAUAUGUUACCCGCGGGUCUUUAUUUGCGCAUUACUGUCGAUAUAGUCACUGAGAGUGUUUUGUAAACAAUUAAACGAAAUAACAAUGUAAUAAGUAAAGCGAAUGUGUCAAUGUAAAAAUAGUGUGAAUGAAGCUAUUAAAUCAAAAUAGCUAAUAGGCUUAAUUAAAUCCAUUUUUUUUUCAAAUUAAAACAUUUGCUUGUAGGCCUACAUAUAUCUGAUUAAAAUUUGAGAUGAAUAGACUAAAUUUUGUAUGUUCAUGUGUAUAAAGUAUAAAGUAGAUCUUGAGGUAGACGUAGAUCUAAAUCUACACUUAUCUAGAGUUCUGUGCUGCGCAUGCGUAAACUUUUUUUCAUGAAUGAAUAUAGGCCUAUCUCAACUCGGCUACGCAGCUUUAGCGAACAGCGAACGAAUGUAUUAAAAAUGCUUUAGAAAAACAAAUUUGAAUGUUAAUUUGAUUAAAAUAUCAAAUGAAUGGACAAUAAUUAGUAUGUUUAUGUGUUAAAGCAUAAAACUAUCUUUGCGAAAAGAAGUUUUAUCAUCUUAGAGUUCAGUAAGAGUUUUAUACCUAGGCCUAGGAAUAGACUCAGACCUCAGAAGAGAGAUGUGUUAAUGUGUAAGUGUAACCAUUUGGUAAUGUCUAAUGAAAGAAUGUUCGCCAGGAAAUCUGUAGAUAUCAGGAACUAAUUUAUGUAAAAAAUGCUUUUGAAUAAUCUAGUGGAUUGGAUAUAUAUGUAUGUUAAACUUAGCUAAUGAUCCUUUCAAAUUAUUUCUCUUUCGCUACGAAAAUAAAAUUAGGUUUGCGAAAAUGGGUUUACCCGAAGUCGAUACAUUCUUAUCUAUUAAAAACGAAAAGAGCGAUAGCUUUGUUAAAUGAAUGGGAUUAUAAAGUGAACAAUUAAACGAAAUUAUAUUUAGUACGCGAUUCAUGAAUGAAUAUAGAUCUAGGCCUAUCUCAACUCGGCUUCGCAGCUUUCGUAGGUGAAUGUAGCUUUAGAAAACCAAAUUUGAAUGUUUAUUUGAUCAAAAUAUGAAAUGAAUGGACUUUAAUUAAUAUGUUUAUGUGUUAAAGUAUAAAACUAUCUGUGCGAAGAGAAGUUUUAUCAUCUUAGAGUUGAAUUAGAGUUUUAGAUCUAGGGAUGGGAUUAUAAAGUAAACAAUUAAACGAAUUAAUAUUUAGUACGCGAUUCAUUACGGAAUUGUCUAAUGAAAGAAUGUUCGUCAGGAAAUCUGUAAUCACAGAUAUAAGGAACUAAUUAAUGUAAAAAAUGCUUUUGAAACACAAAAUUGAAGGUUAAUUUUAUUAUAUAAUGAGAUCAAUGGAUCUUCUUUUGUCUUUUCAUGUGUCAAAGUAAAAAACUAUCUGCGCAAAGUGUAUUUCUUAAAAUUAGAUCUAGGUCUAAAUCCUUUCUAUCUUUUCUCAUGUCAACAUUGUAGACAUGGCCUAGAUCCAUAAAAUACUAUAGCUUUAAUAGAGUCGGACAACUUUUUUUUUUUUUGAGGGUAUUAAGUUUGUUUUAGGGCUACAAUACAUACACUACGGUCUAAGUUGGUACCCAAGGAACAUUCCUGCCUAGUUUUAUCAAGAUUGGUCAAGCGGUUUUGAUGUCUAUAAGUAACAUACAUCCAUACAUACAUACCCCUCACAUUCUACUUUAUAAUAUAGAUAUCAUAUCAUAUAUAGUAGAUAGAUCCACUAAGAAUCCACUCUACUCAGCUUUAUUGUACUAUCAGUCCAGACCCUAUAGAGUCAAGGGGGCAAGCAGGCCAUUAAAUUUGUUAAAAAGAAAAAAGAAACGUGUCUUUGUGAUUAUCAUCAUUGUGUCUGAGUAUUUUCUAUAUAUAGGUAGUGAGUUCGAAAUCCGCGUAUAAACACCGGAAGUAGUAUUCCAUUUUUCAUAUAAAACCUGCAUAGGUCCAUAAACUGUUGGCUUGUUUUUAUUAAAAUGAAGAUCAAAUGACUGCAUAUUUUUGUUUUUAUGUUUGUCAAUUGAAAUAAUCCGAGUUUCAACCUUUUUUAAAAAGGCUCAUCUGGCACUGAACACUAUAUUUUUGGACAAGUUGGCAGAAACAAAAUUAUCCAUGAAAACAAGAGCUUUGCUAAAACAUAUAUACAUCCAUCACUGUCAGUACGUAUUUAAAUCCAUCUCAAUCGGCCCCCUAUUUAUAACCAUCUAUGAUUUGAAUAAUUUCUUUUU
This is a long non-coding RNA of Biomphalaria glabrata, 3448 nucleotides long. RefSeq lists it as uncharacterized. The transcript is spliced from 4 exons. NCBI's taxonomy places the organism in Eukaryota, Metazoa, Mollusca, Gastropoda, Planorbidae. The record is from RefSeq and is a predicted model, not a curated record.